CACACAAGAACCACGCUUCGUAACUUUGCAAAAAGGCCCAUUUACUUUAAAAUUAAUUUGGUUUUGAUAACUUCUACGCUACAGAAUUUGCUUCCUUCCCCUUUCAUUCUGUCUCUGAAUAAAGUAUCCACGUACCCUAGCAUGAGUCCGGUCUUCAACUUGCUAAAUUAACUUUUCCUUCUCUUCCUCUGUGUCUCAAAAGUAGCUCCAUUUAUUUUAACAACUGGUCAUACAAAAGAAAAAAAAAAAUCAAUGUAGGAGACACCCCACACACUUGAAGAGCAGCCACAUGCAGGUACUUUUGGGAGGACAGGAAGGGUAACUCUACCCUCAGGAUUUAUGAGUCCUCAUCUCUACCCUUCCAUUAGGCAGAAAAAUGAACAAGUCACAAAGAAAAGGAGAGAAACUAAAGGAUUAUUAAACUCUGUUAACCUACUUUGGAGACUAGGAAGACCUAAUUGUUGAGGAAAAACACUCUGGGAUGAGCUGAUCUCCUUUGACACCAGCUGAAACUGUGGUCUUCAUUUUAGAACUAGAUGUUUCAUUGGCUUUAACAGAUUAUUUAAAUAAAAAAACCCCACCAGUUUUCACCCUGCUUUCUGUAUUAGAAAGAGGUUUGAAGAUAGCACAGAAAAAGGAUUAAACUACAAUAUUCAGGCUUGAGAGUUUCAUUAUUAAAAAAAAAACAAAACAAAAAACCCCACAACCUUCAGGCAAAAAAUAAAGCCUGCAGAGAAUCUUAAUUUUUAAUGGCAUUUUCAAAGUGCAACAUGACUCUCUGCUUUCUGUAUUAGAAAGAGGUUUGAAGAUGGCACAGAAAAAGGAUUAAAUUACAAUAUUCAGGCUUGAGGGUUUCAUUAUUAAAAAAACAAGACAAAAAACCCCACAACUUUCAGGCAAAAAAUUCCCUGCAGAGAACCUUAAUUUUUAAUGGCAUUUUCAAAGCGCAACAUGACUCUUAUUCCAUAAACUGAUAGCCAUCUAUGAUGAAGAAAACAUGCAAUAUAACUGCCACAAAAAAGGUCAGUUUAUUAGGGCUGAGUCCCAGUGCAUUCUUCCCAGUAAAAGAUUCUUCUCAUUUGAACUAGAAAUUUCUAUUAAAAGGAAGCCUGGGUCUAGCAGAACAUUGCUUAUCCCUUCUGCCCCCAAAUUUUUCAAGAGCUCCUAACUCUAAAUUCCAUUUUGGAUCAAAUCUGAAGUGCUCCAUUCAAUGUAACUGGAAAAAAGUAUUAAAUAAAACAUCUUACCUGAAGUUUAAGGAAUGGCA
RNAcentral lists this long non-coding RNA (1267 nucleotides) under Calidris pugnax (ruff). Its description in RNAcentral is "lncRNA (ENSCPUG00000006757.1)". The record is from RNAcentral. Lineage: Eukaryota; Metazoa; Chordata; Aves; Charadriiformes; Scolopacidae.